RNAcentral lists this long non-coding RNA (764 nucleotides) under Elaeis guineensis (African oil palm). RNAcentral's name for it is "long non-coding RNA (EGUI_LNC079992)". The record is from RNAcentral. Lineage: Eukaryota; Viridiplantae; Streptophyta; Magnoliopsida; Arecales; Arecaceae.
ACAUGAUCUCUGGAAUAGGAUGCUGGAGAUGGUGAAGAGGUAGUGAAGGUGGUAACCACUCCUCUGAGGCGCUCAAGCCGACUCCGCAAUCGGGUUACUUCUCCUUGAGCUGAGGAUGAGUUGGUUAGUUAUCAAGUGCUGAUGGUUUUCAUCCAUGCUAGAGAUUCCAAAACAGCAUUCUGUUGUUUCAUGUUCUGAUCUUCUGAUCUCUGACUUGGUGUAUGUAUUGACACAACAAAUGCUUGUUUGUAUCUCACACGCAGCUGAAUGGCUAUAUUUAACAUGUAAUUCUUUUAUCCUACUUAGCUCUGCCUGAACAGAAAGCUGAGAAGGCUCAGAUGAAUCUUUUUAGAAUUUUUCUGUAUUUACUAGAAUAAUAUGCUGUUUCUUUUUUCUUCAAAAGUUUAUCACUCACUAUUGUUGCCAUCACAUGCCUCCAUAAAUUGUGUCGUCACCACCAUCAUUGUUAUGACUAUAUCACAAAUUUUCCUUGUGCAUCAAUCAUUAAUCAUAUAGAUGUUCAAGAUCUUUUUAAGACCUGUUGGGAUAUACCGACUUUUCCCCCCAUACCGACUCACCGUCGGGCCUACUUGACCAGCGCCCGACUCUGCCGACCGAUAGCUGCCGUCACCGACCGACCGAGCAUACGUCGGUCGGAUAGACCUUCUUCUCUCCUGAUCGGCUAAACUUAGAGCCCGAUGUCCGACUCCCACACCGCGCCCGACUGGCCGACGGAGGGACCCCGGGUUUCCACCCGACGCCCC